RNAcentral lists this ribosomal RNA (420 nucleotides) under uncultured bacterium. Its description in RNAcentral is "bacterial SSU rRNA". It matches the Rfam family "Bacterial small subunit ribosomal RNA", at positions 358 to 773 of the family's 1533-position model. The record is from RNAcentral.
AGAAUCCUCCGCAAUGGGCGAAAGCCUGCCGGAGCGACACCGCGUGCAGGAUGAAGGCCUUCGGGUUGUAAACUGCUGUCCCGCUCUAGGAACGACGUGUCGUUAAUGGCGGCACGUUUGCCCCAGGCGAAAGGCAGCACCGGCUAACUCUGUGCCAGCAGCCGCGGUAAGACAGAGGGUGCAAACGUUGUUCGGAAUCACUGGGCAUAAAGAGCACGUAGGCGGUUCGCCAAGUCGUGCGUGAAAUCCCCCGGCUCAACCGGGGAAUCGCGCUCGAUACUGGCGUGCUAGAGGUCGGUAGGGGUGAGUGGAACUCCAGGUGGAGCGGUGAAAUGCGUAGAUAUCUGGAGGAACACCGGUGGCGAAAGCGGCUCACUGGACCGAAACUGACGCUGAGGUGCGAAAGCUAGGGUAGCAAAC